This is a long non-coding RNA of Lagopus leucura (white-tailed ptarmigan), 702 nucleotides long. RefSeq lists it as uncharacterized. The transcript has 3 exons. NCBI's taxonomy places the organism in Eukaryota, Metazoa, Chordata, Aves, Galliformes, Phasianidae. The record is from RefSeq and is a predicted model, not a curated record.
GGGGCGCUAGCACGCGGAGCGCGCUUCGGGAUGAGGCGGGACGGGCGAGCUUUAGACCCUGUACCAGCUUGAAUGACCUCUGAACUUUCACUUCACUGGGACCACAUUUGGGCUCCUGAAGAAGAGAAGCACUAGAAAGUUUGCCAGCAGAAAGAAGGGAAGAUGGAAAGCACAGUCUAAGGAACACACAGCACAGCCACAUACCUGAGGCCCACAGAUAGAAGGCACCCACAGGAAUUUGGUCUCAAUGUGCUAAAGCUCUGAUGAAGCACCCAGUGACUGCUGGCUCCCAUGUCCUAUUUUGGAAGGCUGAGUGCUGCCUUCCUCCCCAACACUCCCCUAUUGCUGGGGCAAUGCUUUCUACAAGCUGACCUCAGCAUACAGCCAAAUAAAAAUACUGGUACUAGAUGGGCUCUGGUGACAUCUUUAUCCUAUUUGCAAUGGAUAAGGUAGGCUGUGAUGUUAGGAGCCCCCAAAUUGGUGCUGAAACAGGAGCUACUGUUGCUCUUUAACCCUGUUUUGUGCAGCUGAACACAGAUGUUCUCUUCCUACCACCUCACUCCCUAUUGCAGCUAAUUCUCAUUGUUCACAAAGGUUUAGUGCUGAGCUUGUUUCAUUGCGGAUAGCAGUGUCUGUGAGCAGAAAUAGGGAGGAACCUUCCAUUACAACUCAGCUAAAAAGCCUACUGCAAUAAAGGAUAAG